RNAcentral lists this long non-coding RNA (775 nucleotides) under Rhipicephalus microplus (southern cattle tick). Its description in RNAcentral is "uncharacterized LOC119170834, transcript variant X2". The record is from RNAcentral. Lineage: Eukaryota; Metazoa; Arthropoda; Arachnida; Ixodida; Ixodidae.
UUGGCUGAGACAAUCUUCGUCGUAAAAAACGCCUUCCGAUCAUUUGGAGGCACGCGAAUAACCUUCGAGUGUGCCGAAAAACGCUGUGAGCAUGCCUUUAUCUACGCUGCACUUUAGUGCAGUCGGCAGGGUUGGUCCGUUUUCAACGCUUGCAGGAGACUCGCAGAAUUGGACAGUCGUAUCCAGUGAAUAUUAAGAAGACGUCGAGAAGCUGGUCUCCGUGCUUGCUGUGUCUCUACACCACGGGUCUAAUGUUGAAUUCCAAUGGCAAAGCCCGAGCAGCCGACGGACUCUGCGAGCGAGCGCGCAACUCUGGAGUAGAGCAUAGCCUCCAGAUUCGUGAUGGGAACACAACACAUGCAACUGGAGCAAGGUGGAAAGGCAACGAUGGCCAGCAGUCCAGCUACUACAGAUUGUGUGAAGAAGCCACGUCGGCGGGCCUGCCACCUAUGUAACAUGUGUGACUAUAAAACUUAUCAUUCCGGUAGGCUGAAGACACAUAUAAUGGUUCACACUGGUGAACGGCCUUAUGAAUGCCACCUGUGCCCGCGGAGCUUCUCACAGUUUGUCUUGUUGAAGAAUCACCUGGUCACUCACACAUCCGAACGGCCAUUUCAGUGCCCUUUAUGCCUUCAGAAGUUCCGGCGCAAAGACAUCCUCAAGAGACACCACCAACGGCGGCAUGAAUGUCAUUGACCAUUUCAGAAGGAGUUCUCCUGUUGGAUCCUUUCUUUUGUUGUUCUUACAGGAAGGAGUCGGUGUCUUCAAAGGACUG